Non-coding RNA from Coturnix japonica (Japanese quail), 1197 nucleotides. The record is from RefSeq and is a predicted model, not a curated record. NCBI's taxonomy places the organism in Eukaryota, Metazoa, Chordata, Aves, Galliformes, Phasianidae.
GGUUGCUCCCACACUGCUCAGGGUUCCAACAAAUGUGAUCUUGAACAGCUCCAGGAAUGAGCUACUCACUUCUCUGAGCAGCCUGUGCCAAUGCCUCUCAGUAAAGAAUUUCUUCCUAAGAUCAAGCCUUAAUAACUUAAAUCUUCCAUCUUUUGGUUUAAAGACAAAUCCUCUUGCCCUAUCACUAUCUGCCCAUGUAAAAAGACAGUUCCUCUCCUGAUUAUAAAAUCCCUUCACAUACUGGAAGUCCACAGUGAGGUCACCCUAGAGCUUUUCCAUCUCCAAGUCCAGCUGCCUCAAACUUAAGUUAAAAGGGAAAGGGGAAGAAAGAGAGAAAGAGAGAAAGAGAGAAAGAGAAAGAAGGAAGGAAGAAAGGAAAGAAGGGAGAGAGGGAGUUUCCUGCUGUCUAUAGAAUAUUAAUAUCUUCUUAAACAAGAUUAUUACCUGAGGUUGUGAAAACACUUCUCUAUUAUCCUAGCAGGACACAAGUUUAAGUCUUAAACAGACUAACAGAAUCAUGAAUACAAAGUUCUUGGUGAUAAUAGGGAUUAGAAUUCAUGUAAGAUGCUUAUUAUAUUCGCAUUGUUUGACAACAUCCACAACACAGAAGACAUGAAAUAUUUUAUGAAACUCUCUGAAUGUGAGUGUUUAAUAACUGCUGGUCUACUUAAAGUGUUUAAUAACUGCUGGUUUUUAGGUUAUGAAAAAGUUAUAUACAACGUAGGAAUUUGUCAUGGAAAAUACAUUGUUGGAACACAAAAUAAUUGUGUUAUAUACAAUUAAGCUGAGCAGCACCUGGUGAUACAUUCACACUGACAAAAAAAUAAUACUAUUCAACGUUUUAUUACAUAUUCAUAGAAAAUAAGCAGGAGACAAACAAGCUUAAUCAUCAAAUUGGGUUCUCCCACUUCAAGCCAAUUCACCAGACUCUGUUACUUAAAUCUACACCAAAGCUUGUAUGAAUUGGCUCACUACUACAUUGCCAAACAUUUAAAUUGAUGUAUUGCUUGACUGUAAAAUGGGAAUAACGUAGCCAUUAGAAGAGAUUGAAUUAAGGUCUAAGUGGUCUAGUGAGCUACGAGUGUCAUUUUCAGCACAUAAGUAAGAACUGUGCAAAGCAAAACACUUUGAAUAAGUUCUUUAGUACUUAACCUGUAUGUAGUUUAUUAUGAUGAAACUGAGAAUAUUAAUUAAAUU